UAGACAGAUUAUUGUAUUCGACUGUAUUCAUGAUAUGUAUCUGUGAAUACAGUAAUAUAAAUAGCGCAAUUCAUGGUCUAUUCAACUGUUUUUAAACAGAAAUUGAAUCAAUUAACAUAAUAGACUCCU
RNAcentral lists this microRNA precursor (129 nucleotides) under Nicotiana sylvestris (wood tobacco). RNAcentral describes it as "MIR6152 microRNA precursor family". It matches the Rfam family "MIR6152 microRNA precursor family". Lineage: Eukaryota; Viridiplantae; Streptophyta; Magnoliopsida; Solanales; Solanaceae. The record is from Rfam by way of RNAcentral.